Molecule: ribosomal RNA, 119 nt
Filed under: Pteropus alecto (black flying fox)
Lineage: Eukaryota; Metazoa; Chordata; Mammalia; Chiroptera; Pteropodidae
Source: RNAcentral
GUCUAUGGCCAUGCUACUCUGAACAAGCCUGAUCCUGCCUAAUCUGGGAAGCUAAGCAGGGUCAGCGGUAGUUAGUACUUGGAUAGGAGACCACCUAGGAAGACCAGGUGCUGUAGGUG